Molecule: transfer RNA, 77 nt
Filed under: Moraxella sp. VT-16-12
Lineage: Bacteria; Pseudomonadati; Pseudomonadota; Gammaproteobacteria; Moraxellales; Moraxellaceae
Description: tRNA-Arg
Rfam family: tRNA
About the family: Transfer RNA (tRNA) molecules are approximately 80 nucleotides in length. Their secondary structure includes four short double-helical elements and three loops (D, anti-codon, and T loops).
Source: RNAcentral
GCACCUGUAGCUCAGUUGGAUAGAGUGUUGGCCUCCGAAGCCAAAGGUCGUGGGUUCAAUUCCCGCCAGGUGCGCCA